UCAAGAGUUCCUGCUCCAGCCAAAGAUAAAUUGGUUGUUACUCUGGCAUCGUUGACUUUUGGGGCAGCAUGGACUUCUUAAAGCUACUUUGGAUCGCAAUUUCGUAUGUUAUGGCAGUUGGUGUGGUUACGUCGUUCCCAGUUCAAGAUGUUGGUGGAACAGUUCCUCUUAUCCGACCACAGACUAAGCCUGACCCGGAACUCUGGGCAGCAGUACGAAAACUGAUGAUUAAAGCCAGCAAUUAUAAUCGAUAGAUCUUUCCUUUCGCUAAGACAGCGGUCAGGAUACACCAGAUGUGAAAUAGGAGACCCAUAUGCCACGAGCACAGUAAUUAUUCAAUCGCAGGAGGAAGCAAUGGCCAAAAGUUUGAAGAAAGUUCUAAAGUUGAAUCAUAGUUUCAUGUAGGAAUGAGUAAGAAAGUCGAGCACAGAGAGGAAUGUAUUUAUGAAAGCUGCGGAAAAGAUCAACGUUGACUUGAAUGGCGAGGAGCGAUGGAAUUCCUAGAAAUACAUUCCUGUUAAAUACAUAAAAUUUGUGAGACCAAGAGGUUGAAAUACCAUUUCUAAAAUUGGCUACGUUUCUGAAAAAGGAACAAAACAUCAAGCUAGAUUGAAAGAAGGAAACAGCUAAAAGAAGUAUAAGGUAACUGCAGCGGUAGACUGUGAUGAAAGUUAUGUAAUGUAAUAAUUUGGAUAUAUCAACAAAGUUGAAAUGGUAAAUUGGCCACCGUAAUGAUUACAAAAGCUGA
Stylophora pistillata is the source of this 748-nucleotide long non-coding RNA. RefSeq lists it as uncharacterized. The record is from RefSeq and is a predicted model, not a curated record. NCBI's taxonomy places the organism in Eukaryota, Metazoa, Cnidaria, Anthozoa, Scleractinia, Pocilloporidae.